This 492-nucleotide ribosomal RNA is filed under the name uncultured bacterium. RNAcentral's name for it is "partial 16S ribosomal RNA". It matches the Rfam family "Bacterial small subunit ribosomal RNA", at positions 29 to 507 of the family's 1533-position model. The record is from RNAcentral.
AGUGAACGCUGGCGGUAUGCCUAACACAUGCAAGUCGAACGGCAGCACAGUAAGAGCUUGCUCUUACGGGUGUCGAGUGUCGGACGGUUGCGUAAUACAUCGGAAUCUACUUUUUCGUGGGUGAUAACGUAGGGAAACUUACUCUAAUACCGCAUACGACCUACUUGUGAAAGCAGGGGAUCUUCUGACCUUGCGCUAUUGAAUGAGCCGAUGUCGGAUUAGCUAGUUGGCGGGGUAAAGGCCCACCAAGGCGACGAUCCGUAGCUGGUCUGAGAGGAUGAGUAGCCAGACUGGAACUGAGACACGGUCCAGACUCCUACGGGAGGAAGCAGCGGGGAAUAUUGGACAAUGGGGGAAAGCCUGAUCCAGCCAUACCGUGUGGGUGAAGAAGGCCUUCGGGUUGUAAAGCCAUUUUGUUGGGAAAGAAAAGCAGCAGGUUAAUCCCCCGCUGUUAUGACGGUACCCAAAGAAUAAGCACCGGCUAACUUCGUG